UACAGAGGGGGCAAGCGUUGUUCGGAAUUACUGGGCGUAAAGGGCGCGUAGGCGGCCAACUAAGUCAUACGUGAAAUCCCUCAGCUUAACUGGGGAACUGCGUGUGAUACUGGAUGGCUUGGAUUUGGGAGAGGGAUGCGGAAUUCCAGGUGUAGCGGUGAAAUGCGUAGAUAUCUGGAGGAACACCGGUGGCGAAGGCGGCAUCCUGGACCAAUAUUGACGCUGAGGAGCGAAAGCCAGGGGAGCAAACGGG
RNAcentral lists this ribosomal RNA (253 nucleotides) under uncultured bacterium. Its description in RNAcentral is "partial 16S ribosomal RNA". It matches the Rfam family "Bacterial small subunit ribosomal RNA", at positions 524 to 776 of the family's 1533-position model. The record is from RNAcentral.